This 460-nucleotide ribosomal RNA is filed under the name uncultured bacterium. RNAcentral's name for it is "partial 16S ribosomal RNA". It matches the Rfam family "Bacterial small subunit ribosomal RNA", at positions 338 to 795 of the family's 1533-position model. The record is from RNAcentral.
CCUACGGGAGGCAGCAGUGAGGAAUAUUGGUCAAUGGGCGCGAGCCUGAACCAGCCAAGUAGCGUGAGGGAAGACGGUCCUAUGGAUUGUAAACCUCUUUAGGCGGGGAGCAAUGCCGGGCAUGCGUGCCCGGAGGGAGAGUACCCGCAGAAUAAGCAUCGGCUAACUCCGUGCCAGCAGCCGCGGUAAUACGGAGGAUGCGAGCGUUAUCCGGAUUUAUUGGGUUUAAAGGGUGCGUAGGCGGAUUUUUAAGUCAGCGGUAAAAUGUCCGGGCUCAACCCGGGCCGGCCGUUGAAACUGGGGAGCUUGAGUGGGCGAGAAGUAUGCGGAAUGCGUGGUGUAGCGGUGAAAUGCAUAGAUAUCACGCAGAACUCCGAUUGCGAAGGCAGCAUACCGGCGCCCGACUGACGCUGAGGCACGAAAGCGUGGGGAUCGAACAGGAUUAGAUACCCGAGUAGUC